CAGCCAUUUCCGUGAAGAUGGAGAUAGGGAGGGAGGGGAAGAACAGGCUGCCGCCGCGCGAUGGAGUUCCUCAUAUAACCAAUCCACAGAUCUACUAUGAUUUAGGAGGUCGGAGAGAGUCUGUUGCCGGAAGGUUCGCCGGCGGAUGUUACAAGGCGAACACUGGUGGAGGUGACGCUGCAGGAGGGCACGGUUUUGAGCGGCGACGGGCGGAUCUGCUGUGCGUCAGGGGCGGUGGCCAUGAGCGGCGAAGGGCGAAUCUGCAGCACGGCGCAGGCCGCAGCAGACGGAAGGGGCAGCUCGCCUCCGACGUCUGAGCUGUUGACGGUGACGACGAAUCCCCAGGCUCCUGGUUGGAAUAAGAGGUGGUGGUAACAACUAUACGAGGCUUGUUUUCGCUAGGUGGUGGUAGUUCAAUGGAUUGGAUGCUAUUCUAGAGGAGAUCAGCAUGAUGCAUGUUCAUGCCUCUCAGGCUGCGUCGGUAAAUGAUGAUGGAAAUGUGCAUGCAAUUAUCGAUGCUGAUGUUAGGGCACCCCCGGACAUCCAUCGGUAAAACAAGAAGAAGGCGCCGAAGAUGGUGAUGUGGAUUGAUGACGUGCACAUAGAUGAUCAGGUUGCUUGGCAACUUGAAACAGAACUGGAUGGGGAAUAUGAGAUGGAAAGAGCAUCCGUGCAACGGUGCAGAAUUUGCAAUGGGUUUGGUUGAAGGGAUUAUUGAGAUCUCCGACAGUGAGAGCAACGUAGAAGUUGAUUCGAAGAAUGGUCUGAUCCUGAGCACGCUAAUCUGGUUGAAACAGAAUAGAAGACUGAGGGAGCAAGAGGAGAAAGAUGCAGCUGUUGGAAGAUGUAUCAAGAAAUGGAUGGCCCAGCUAAUGAGUCACUUGUUGAGAAAGACGGAAAGUUAAGGGAGGAAGAGGAAAAAGACCGGGAGGCUGCAAUGAUGUAUCAAAACCUGUAUGAUCAAAAUGCAACUGAAGCUCAGAUCGCCAAUGCGACAGCAGGUGGAAUUCUUGCUCGAGCGAUCGAACCUGCAGGACGAGAUAGAAGCCCUGUGGAGGGAGGCUGUAUAGGCUAAAAAGCACGGACACGCCAGGAGUCGCCGAACUGCCGUCCUGAUACGGCGGGAUACGGGGAUACGGCGGGAUACGCGAAUUUUGGAGUAUCCCCGAAAUUCGAAUUAAAAAAAAGAAAAAACAAUUGGGAUACGCCGGGAUACGCGGGGACACGUUAGGGAUACGGCCUGGCCCAAAAACACACCCCCGGCCCAGCCACGGCCCAAUAUGUAACCCUAUUUUGCAGGGUCUCCAUACGAGCUGCUCCCUGCCUCCCAGCUCGAGCUGCUCCCUGCCUCCCAGCUCGAACAGAAGGAGCCGCCACCUUCUGGAUCGAAGUUCCCACCACCUGGACUCGCCGCCGCCGGCGCCGGCGACUCCUCCAUCCAGCACCAGCAGCAGCAGUCUCUCUCUCUCCUCGCCUCCUCAGCUCCUCGCAGCUGUAGCCUGUAGGUAACCCAGCAGCUUCUCCAUUCUUCAACCUCUUCCUCUUUUAUUCUUCAGAUUCAGAUUUUGUUCCAUUAUUAAGGGAUUAAGCUACUGGGUCUGGAUGCUUGCUAGCUUGUUGUUGACUUGUUGUUGCUACCUCUCUGCUUGUGCUGCUGCUGUUUGUUAUGCUGUUGCUGCUCGCUUGUGCUGCUUGGGCUGAUGCUGCUGCUGCUAGCCUGCUAGUGCUACUGCCUAUUUCUGAAUUUAACAGCUUGUGUUGCUGCACACUUGUUGAUAGGUACUCCCUCCGUCCGGAAAUACUUGUCGGGGAAAUGGAUGUAUCUAGACGUAUUUUGGUUCUAGAUACAUCUAAUUUUAUCUAUUUGUGCGACAAGUAUUUCCGGACGGAGGGAGUAGCAACUAGCAAGUGGCAUGGCAUCUGGGAGCGCCACAGCUGGUAGCCAAUUUGUGUUUGAUGUGUUUUGCAAGAUGCAACUUGCAAUGAGAUGGGGGGAUGAGGAUCGAUCAAGCACUUGCUAAAAGAGACACCAAAUGGGGCAGUACUCUAGUCUAUUCUUUAUUUUGAUCUAUUUCUCUUUAAUUUUCUGUCUUAACUCUAUAUUACAUGGCAUAUUUUUAUUUUAUUUUAUAUAUACUUGCCGUAUCCCUGAAUGGCUGUUUUUGGAAAAUGCCGUAUCCCGUAUCCCCGUAUCCGUAUCCCCGUCUUUCCGUCCCCGUGUCCGUGCUUUUUAGGAUGCAGGUACUGAAGGUCAUAUAGCAAAUGCGCCAGCAAACGGAAAUGUUGCUCAAGCGGUCGAACCUGCAAAGAUCCAUGCUGUUGCGAUACUAGGUGUCACUGGUAGAGAUAGAAUCGUUGAGUUCGGGCCACCACAGCACAGCUGCACAGAUCGUUGCCUUUUUGGUGGCGGCUGGUGACGGCGACGUUCAUAGCACCGAGACAAUCUGUGGCUGUUAUAUCUGAAGAGAUGCUCGCGGUGGUGCAAGAUCCAACACAGGUAGGGACAUUCAAACAUGGGGAAGUAUGCAGUGGAAGUAGCAAGGAGAGCUGCAUGGGGACGUACGAGCUGGUAUGGAUACCUCCAUCUUAGGGCAAGGCCAACGCUCCAGGAUGGACCGGUGCCCCAGCUGCCAAGUCGGCUUGGAUAGUUGAACCUGAGAAAAAGAUGCUGCUUGCAGCGCUAGACGGGAUCCUGCAGAGGAGGCUGGUUCUCCCGUGAAAAAAGUGCAAGGCAGCCAAUGGGAAAGCGUUGGAAAACACCAUUGCUGAGCUCAACAGUACCUUGCUACCUUCUUGUACAGAGAAAAAGCUACCAAACCUGAGAACACUACUACUGCUUCCGUUGGAUGAAGGUAGAACUAAACAGUAGCUUCAAUUACCUUUUAUCUAGGUGGAGCAUGGGGCACCAGUAUAGUGAUGCCACCAUUGUACAUGCCCUUAGGUGGAAGUCCAUUUUUCCUGGACUACUUUUUCCUUGAUUGGGUGGAUUUUGAAAAGCACAACUUGAAGUACAAUAUGGCGCCAAGGAAAAAGCUGAAGAGGUCAUGGCGGCCAAUCUGGUUUCUUCCGACGCAGUUAGAGAGGAUAAAGAAAGGAGACGAGCAGGAAGGAUCUUGAAGAGGAUGUGUAGUUGAUGAGUUUUGAGUAAAUGAAGUAGCCUCUGCCAAAAAAAAGUAGCUGGUGUGGACGGUGGCCGUUAUGGGAUGACGACUGAGCCGUGGCCCAUAACUCGCACGCCUAUCUGAGCCGGUUAGGAUGGGACGGGGAAAAGGGCAUUAAUUGAGGUAGAUAGGUGGGGCCUGGCCAUGGAAUAGAUUGGAUAUACUAAUCUGAAUACAGAGGAAUAUACAUUGGACAUUGUGAAUCUUUGCGCCAACGAACGACUGGGAUAUGGAGUGCAUCUGAGCUCGAGCUCAGAAUAGCACUUUUCGUUAACCAACUACUAACAUGAGCAAAAAUAGUAUGAGUAGAAAGUUUGCAUGACGAACUCCAUUUUAUCCCUCUUCGAUGCCUGGAUUAAAUCAUAUAAAAAUUGCAAAAUGCUAUGUUCAGAUAAUAGAAUCAACUCCUAGCUACGUGAUGUGUGUGUGCGGGAGUGUGUGUGGUGUGUGUGGCCAGCUGUGCCACAGCCGUGUGUGGCCGGUCAUGCUAGUUAGGAGUAGUUUAAUUAGUAGGAGUACUAGUUAAUUAGUCUAAUAGUAGAUGACAUGUGGAUC
Molecule: ribosomal RNA, 3716 nt
Filed under: Triticum aestivum (bread wheat)
Lineage: Eukaryota; Viridiplantae; Streptophyta; Magnoliopsida; Poales; Poaceae
Description: partial small subunit ribosomal RNA
Rfam family: MIR1120/MIR1122 microRNA precursor family (bases 1777-1901)
Source: RNAcentral